UGGGCGUAAAGCGCGCGCAGGCGGUCCUUUAAGUCUGAUGUGAAAGCCCACGGCUCAACCGUGGAGGGUCAUUGGAAACUGGGGGACUUGAGUGCAGAAGAGAAGAGUGGAAUUCCACGUGUAGCGGUGAAAUGCGUAGAGAUGUGGAGGAACACCAGUGGCGAAGGCGACUCUUUGGUCUGUAACUGACGCUGAGGCGCGAAAGCGUGGGGAGCAAACAGGAUUAGAUACCCUGGUAGUCCACGCCGUAAACGAUGAGUGCUAAGUGUUAGAGGGUUUCCGCCCUUUAGUGCUGCAGCAAACGCAUUAAGCACUCCGCCUGGGGAGUACGGACGCAAGGCUGAAACUCAAAGGAAUUGACGGGGGCCCGCACAAGCGGUGGAGCAUGUGGUUUAAUU
RNAcentral lists this ribosomal RNA (398 nucleotides) under Priestia flexa. Its description in RNAcentral is "bacterial SSU rRNA". It matches the Rfam family "Bacterial small subunit ribosomal RNA", at positions 555 to 951 of the family's 1533-position model. The record is from RNAcentral. Lineage: Bacteria; Bacillati; Bacillota; Bacilli; Caryophanales; Bacillaceae.